AAGUCGUAACAAGGUUUCCGUAGGUGAACCUGCGGAAGGAUCAUUAACACGUAUCCGUUAAACCCAUGAACUUUCAUCGUGCUCUUGCAUCCUAGGAACAGCAAUCCUGGUAAAUCAGUCGAAAGCAGUUAUUGAUUCAGGAUGCUGUGUCGAGGAGACAUACGCUAACUACUGGUUGUUUCCAAGGGGCGUGAGUCCGGUGACCACGACGCCGGCCGGUGAUCGGCCUACAGCAUCCGUGAAGCGUUAUCCUUGAACAAUCAAUGACACUUUCAGAACACUGAUCGCUUGGGGAAGCUAGGCCACUUGCCUCGAGCGCUCAAUCACAUCUUUUGGGCAGAGGUAAGUGCGCCGUCGUAGGAGAAAAACGAACAACUGUUAACAAUGGAUAUCUUGGUUCUCA
Molecule: unclassified non-coding RNA, 403 nt
Filed under: fungal sp.
Lineage: Eukaryota; Fungi
Description: partial internal transcribed spacer region
Rfam family: Eukaryotic small subunit ribosomal RNA (bases 1-46)
Source: RNAcentral